Molecule: self-splicing intron, 216 nt
Filed under: Naegleria sp. SUM3V/I
Lineage: Eukaryota; Heterolobosea; Eutetramitea; Acrasida; Naegleriidae
Description: GIR1 branching ribozyme
Rfam family: GIR1 branching ribozyme
About the family: GIR1 branching ribozyme also namend lariat-capping (LC) ribozyme is a natural ribozyme with similarity to group I introns, the LC ribozyme catalyzes cleavage by a 2',5' branching reaction, leaving the 3' product with a 3-nt lariat cap that functionally substitutes for a conventional mRNA cap in the downstream pre-mRNA encoding a homing endonuclease.
Source: Rfam by way of RNAcentral
CUGUUAUUGGAGGAUAUUGAAGUCAUGCGAUGGGGUUUAUACUUUUAUUUGCCAAAACGGGACCUCUGUUGAGGUAUAGAUCUCGCAAGAGGUUGAAUAUUCCGUACUAAGGAUCUCUGAUCCGGAAAGUCUAGAGACUACACGGCAAAGCCAUAGUGGCUAGUAUAAAUGGAUAGUCCCUAGUUAACCAUCUAGGCAUCCCAUACAAAAUGGUUU